This 221-nucleotide unclassified non-coding RNA is filed under the name plant metagenome. RNAcentral describes it as "partial contains small subunit ribosomal RNA, internal transcribed spacer 1, and 5.8S ribosomal RNA". The record is from RNAcentral.
ACUCCGUAGGUGAACCUGCGGAGGGAUCAUUACAGAGUUCGUGCCCUCGCGGGUAGUUCUCCCACCCUGUGUUAUUGCUACCUUUUUUGCUUUGGCCGGCGCCCCUCGGCUACCGCCCCCGGCUGCUACGCGCCCGACAGAUGACCCCCAACCCUGAACGUCAGUGUCGUCUGAAUACUAUACAAUAGUUAAAACUUUCAACAACGGAUCUCUUGGUUCUG